AAUUAAGAAUAUUUGACUUAAAUUACAAAUAAAAAUUAUUAAAUAUUUUAUUUUCCUAAAUAAAAAUAAGAGUUUUUGAAUCUGUGCAUCAUUUACAAGAAACGCCUCAAGCGACCAAGACUAGAGAACGUGACGUCACGAUGUAUUAUAUGUAAUGUCUUGUCUUUUGGUCUUGUCAUUCCGAAAAAGAUUUUGGCGCGUUUCAUUCGCAGGUUUCAUUAAUAUUUAUAUGAUUAAUUCGUGUCCAAGGUGCACUUUACCGAAAAAACACAUGGAAAUUGGUUUUAUUAAAGCUGACAGUGCAAAUUUGCCAAAAAUUGAGUCUUUUAUGAUCGCAAAUUUCUUUGCCUCAAACCCGGACUUUUGUUCUGCAGAAUUUAGGAACGCGGAAACUUCAUUAUCAUCAAGACAGUUGUAUGGUGAUGAUGCUAAUUCAUAUGCUAACUCAAAUCCUAAAACAUCAAGCUGAUUACAAAGUGCCCGACAUUCUUCAGUUCUCGAUGCAUUAUUAGAGCAUCAAGUAUAAGAAAGGAAGUGACUGUGAAACGUUUUUAGCCAAAAUUAAUGGUGUUUUUACACAAGAAAAUAUAAAUUUUGUGGAAAGUCUGACCCGAGCACAACACAAAACUCAAGCAUGGCAUGAGUUAAGGAAUAAAAGCAUCAAAAGCAUUUGAUGUUUCACGAUGCAAAACAACUGUUGGAUCCUUGGUUGCCUUAAUAAUGGGAGCUAAAGUACCAGAUACUCCAAC
RNAcentral lists this long non-coding RNA (749 nucleotides) under Manduca sexta (tobacco hornworm). RNAcentral describes it as "uncharacterized LOC115447115". The record is from RNAcentral. Lineage: Eukaryota; Metazoa; Arthropoda; Insecta; Lepidoptera; Sphingidae.